This 77-nucleotide transfer RNA is filed under the name Aggregatibacter actinomycetemcomitans NUM4039. RNAcentral's name for it is "tRNA-Met". Lineage: Bacteria; Pseudomonadati; Pseudomonadota; Gammaproteobacteria; Pasteurellales; Pasteurellaceae. The record is from RNAcentral.
CGGCCCCCGCAACCAAUCACAAGUUCAGUUAAAAGACCCCAAUUUUGGGUUUUUUUAUACGAUAAAUUUGUUGUUUA